AACGAACGCUGGCGGCAUGCCUAACACAUGCAAGUCGAACGAGACCUUCGGGUCUAGUGGCGCACGGGUGCGUAACGCGUGGGAACCUGCCCUUAGGUUCGGAAUAACUCCCCGAAAGGGGUGCUAAUACCGGAUAAUGUCUUCGGACCAAAGAUUUAUCGCCUUUGGAUGGGCCCGCGUUGGUUUAGCUAGUUGGUAGGGUAAAAGCCUACCAAGGCGACGAUCCAUAGCUGGUCUGAGAGGAUGAUCAGCCACACUGGGACUGAGACACGGCCCAGACUCCUACGGGAGGCAGCAGUGGGGAAUAUUGGACAAUGGGCGAAAGCCUGAUCCAGCAAUGCCGCGUGAGUGAUGAAGGCCUUAGGGUUGUAAAGCUCUUUUACCCGGGAUGAUAAUGACAGUACCGGGAGAAUAAGCCCCGGCUAACUCCGUG
Molecule: ribosomal RNA, 433 nt
Filed under: uncultured bacterium
Lineage: Bacteria
Description: partial 16S ribosomal RNA
Rfam family: Bacterial small subunit ribosomal RNA
Source: RNAcentral